RNAcentral lists this ribosomal RNA (480 nucleotides) under uncultured bacterium. Its description in RNAcentral is "bacterial SSU rRNA". It matches the Rfam family "Bacterial small subunit ribosomal RNA", at positions 8 to 526 of the family's 1533-position model. The record is from RNAcentral.
AGAGUUUGAUCAUGGCUCAGAAUCAACGCUGGCGGCGCGCUUAACACAUGCAAGUCGCACGCGCGGAGCUUGCUCCGUGAGUGGCGCACGGCUGAGGAUCACGUGGGAACAUGCCUCCUUGUGGGGGACAACACGCCGAAAGGCGUGCUAAUCCCGCAUACGCUCGGUGACGAGGAAAGCCGCAAGGCGCAGGGAGAGUGGCCCGCGGCCCAUCAGGUGGUUGGUGGGGUAAUGGCCUACCAAGCCGGUGACGGGUAGCUGGUCUGUGAGGACAGACAGCCAGACUGGGACUGAGACACGGCCCAGACUCCUACGGGAGGCAGCAGCAAGGAAUUUUCGUCAAUGGGCGCAAGCCUGAACGAGCAACGCCGCGUGGAGGAUGACGGCCUUCGGGUUGUAAACUCCUUUUUCGGGGGACGAUGAUGACGGUACCCCGGGAAUAAGGCUCGGCUAACUCUGUGCCAGCCGCCGCGGUAAUUC